Molecule: ribosomal RNA, 581 nt
Filed under: Distoseptispora jinghongensis
Lineage: Eukaryota; Fungi; Ascomycota; Sordariomycetes; Distoseptisporaceae
Description: Distoseptispora sp. YH-2023c partial large subunit ribosomal RNA
Rfam family: Eukaryotic large subunit ribosomal RNA
Source: RNAcentral
AAAACCGGGGGGGAGAAGCGGCAACAGCUCAGAUUUGAAAUCUGGCCCCUCCGGGGUCCGAGUUGUAAUCUGUAGAGGAUGCUUUUGGCGACGCGCCUUCCGAGUCCCCUGGAACGGGGCGCCAGAGAGGGUGAGAGCCCCGUAUGGUUGGACGCCGAACCUCUGUAAAGCUCCUUCGACGAGUCGAGUAGUUUGGGAAUGCUGCUCAAAAUGGGAGGUAAAUUUCUUCUAAAGCUAAAUACCGGCCAGAGACCGAUAGCGCACAAGUAGAGUGAUCGAAAGAUGAAAAGCACUUUGAAAAGAGGGUUAAAUAGCACGUGAAAUUGCUGAAAGGGAAGCGCUUGUGACCAGACUUGCGCCCGGUUGAUCAUCCAGCGUUCUCGCUGGUGCACUCUGCCGGGCUCAGGCCAGCAUCGGCUCUCCCAGGGGGAUAAAGGUCACGGGAACGUAGCUCUCUUCGGGGAGUGUUAUAGCCCGCGGCGGAAUACCCUUAGGGGGGGCCGAGGCCCGCGUUCGCAAGGAUGCUGGCGUAAUGGUCACCAGCGACCCGUCUUGAAACACGCCCCCAAAGAGGGGGGAAA